Molecule: non-coding RNA, 85 nt
Organism: Musa acuminata subsp. malaccensis (wild Malaysian banana)
Lineage: Eukaryota; Viridiplantae; Streptophyta; Magnoliopsida; Zingiberales; Musaceae
Source: Rfam
UGCAGUCGAUGAUGAAGAAUUAAGCAAGUCCUGAUCUUUCUGUGAUUAUUACAUUAAUUAUCACCAUCUUUCGGCUGAGACUGCA